RNAcentral lists this ribosomal RNA (286 nucleotides) under Bacillus amyloliquefaciens. RNAcentral describes it as "partial 16S ribosomal RNA". It matches the Rfam family "Bacterial small subunit ribosomal RNA", at positions 81 to 360 of the family's 1533-position model. The record is from RNAcentral. Lineage: Bacteria; Bacillati; Bacillota; Bacilli; Caryophanales; Bacillaceae.
GCUCCCUGAUGUUAGCGGCGGACGGGUGAGUAACACGUGGGUAACCUGCCUGUAAGACUGGGAUAACUCCGGGAAACCGGGGCUAAUACCGGAUGCUUGUUUGAACCGCAUGGUUCAAACAUAAAAGGUGGCUUCGGCUACCACUUACAGAUGGACCCGCGGCGCAUUAGCUAGUUGGUGAGGUAACGGCUCACCAAGGCGACGAUGCGUAGCCGACCUGAGAGGGUGAUCGGCCACACUGGGACUGAGACACGGCCCAGACUCCUACGGGAGGCAGCAGUAGGGA